Molecule: ribosomal RNA, 423 nt
Filed under: uncultured bacterium
Lineage: Bacteria
Description: bacterial SSU rRNA
Rfam family: Bacterial small subunit ribosomal RNA
Source: RNAcentral
AAGACCUUGCGCUUUUGGAGCGGCCGAUGCCUGAUUAGCUUGUUGGUAAGGUAAAAGCUUACCAAGGCUUCGAUCAGUAGCUGGUCUGAGAGGACGGCCAGCCACACUGGGACUGAGACACGGCCCAGACUCCUACGGGAGGCAGCAGUGGGGAAUUUUGGACAAUGGGGGCAACCCUGAUCCAGCCAUGCCGCGUGAGUGAAGAAGGCCUUCGGGCUGUAAAGCUCUUUCAGCCGGAACGAAACGGUUACGGUUAAUACCUGUGAUUACUGACGGUACCGGAAGAAGAAGCACCGGCUAACUACGUGCCAGCAGCCGCGGUAAUACGUAGGGUGCGAGCGUUAAUCGGAAUUACUGGGCGUAAAGCGUGCGCAGGUGGUUUUGUAAGUCAGAUGUGAAAGCCCCGGGCUCAACCUGGGAACU